UGCCAGCCGCCGCGGUAAUACGGAGGGGGCUAGCGUUGUUCGGAAUUACUGGGCGUAAAGAGUACGUAGGCGGUUUAUUAAGCCAGAUGUGAAAUCCCGAGGCUCAACCUCGGAACUGCAUUUGGAACUGGUGAACUAGAGUCCGUUAGAGGCAAGUAGAAUUCCUAGUGUAGGGGUGAAAUCCGUAGAUAUUAGGAGGAAUACCAAUUGCGAAGGCAGCUUGCUGGGUCGGAACUGACGCUGAGGUACGAAAGCGUGGGUAGCAAACGGGAUUAGAUA
Molecule: ribosomal RNA, 279 nt
Filed under: uncultured bacterium
Lineage: Bacteria
Description: partial 16S ribosomal RNA
Rfam family: Bacterial small subunit ribosomal RNA
Source: RNAcentral